AGAGUUUGAUCCUGGCUCAGAUUGAACGCUGGCGGCAUGCCUUAUACAUGCAAGUCGAACGCGAAAGUGGACUUCGGUCCACGAGUAGAGUGGCGGACGGGUGAGUAACGCGUGGGAAUCUGCCCUAGAGAGGGGGACAACUCGAGGAAACUCGAGCUAAUACCGCAUAAUCUCUGAGGAGCAAAGCAGGGGACCUUCGGGCCUUGCGCUUUGGGAUGAGCCCGCGUCAGAUUAGCUUGUUGGUGGGGUAAUGGCCUACCAAGGCGACGAUCUGUAGCUGGUCUGAGAGGACGACCAGCCACACUGGGACUGAGACACGGCCCAGACUCCUACGGGAGGCAGCAGUAGGGAAUAUUGGACAAUGGGCGAAAGCCUGAUCCAGCAAUGCCGCGUGUGUGAAAAGGCCUGCGGGUUGUAAAGCACUUUCAGUGGGGAGGAAAUGCUCAAAGUUAAUACCUUUGAGAGUUGACGUUACCCACAGAAGAAGCACCGGCUAACUCUGUGCCAGCAGCCGCGGUAAUACAGAGGGUGCAAGCGUUAAUCGAAGUUACUGGGCGUAAAGCGUGCGUAGGCGGAUUUUCAAGUCGAGUGUGAAAGCCCUGGGCUUAACCUAGGAAUUGCAUUCGAUACUGAAAGUCUAGAGUAUGGUAGAGGAAGGUGGAAUUUCCGGUGUAGCGGUGGAAUGCGUAGAUAUCGGAAAGAACACCAGUGGCGAAGGCGGCCUUCUGGACCAAUACUGACGCUGAGGUACGAAAGCGUGGGGAGCAAACAGGAUUAGAGACCCUGGUAGUCCACGCCGUAAACGAUGAGAACUAGACGUUGGCCUUAGCUUUAUAGCUGGGUUAGUGUCGAAGCUAACGCGUUAAGUUCUCCGCCUGGGGAGUACGAUCGCAAGAUUAAAACUCAAAGGAAUUGACGGGGACCCGCACAAGCGGUGGAACAUGUGGUUUAAUUCGAUGCAACGCGAAGAACCUUACCUACCCUUGAAAUCCUCGGAAUCCCUUAGAGAUAGGGGAGUGCCUUCGGGAACCGAGUGACAGGUGCUGCAUGGCUGUCGUCAGCUCGUGUCGUGAGAUGUUGGGUUAAGUCCCGUAACGAGCGCAACCCUUGUCCUUAGUUGCUAGCGCGUAAUGGCGUGCACUUUAAGGAGACUGCCGGUGAUAAACCGGAGGAAGGUGGGGACGACGUCAAGUCAUCAUGGCCCUUACGGGUAGGGCUACACACGUGUUACAAUGGGGAAUACAGAGGGUUGCCAAGCCGUGAGGUGGAGCUAAUCCCAGAAAAUUUCUCGUAGUCCGGAUUGAAGUCUGCAACUCGACUUCAUGAAGUUGGAAUCGCUAGUAAUCGCGAAUCAGAAUGUCGCGGUGAAUACGUUCUCGGGUCUUGUACACACCGCCCGUCACACCAUGGGAGUGGGCUGUACCAGAAGCAGGUAGCUUAACCUUCGGGGGGGCGCCUACCACGGUGUGGUUCAUGACUGGGGUGAAGUCG
Molecule: ribosomal RNA, 1491 nt
Filed under: metagenome
Description: bacterial SSU rRNA
Rfam family: Bacterial small subunit ribosomal RNA
Source: RNAcentral